RNAcentral lists this small RNA (279 nucleotides) under marine eukaryotic metagenome. Its description in RNAcentral is "5' ureB small RNA". It matches the Rfam family "5' ureB small RNA". The record is from RNAcentral.
AAUUUGUUGCGGGCAGAUAAAAUGAAUAUGACUGUCAAAACCGCCAGCAGUAACGAUAUGUUUUUCGCCAGCAAUAAUCUCCGUUCCAGCCCCAAUAACAAUCGUGACCUGCGGUUGCGUAUCAGGAUUUCCAGCCUUUCCUAUCGCCUGAAUGACACCGUCUUUUAUGCCGAUAUCGGCUUUAUAUAUUCCAUUUACAUCAACAAUACAGGCAUUGGUGAUAACCGUAUCUACCGCGCCUUCGUGACGUGUUAGUUGCGACUGCCCCAUCCCAUCACG